CUACGGGAGGCAGCAGUAGGGAAUCUUCCACAAUGGACGAAAGUCUGAUGGAGCAACGCCGCGUGAGUGAUGAAGGUUUUCGGAUCGUAAAACUCUGUUGUUAAAGAAGAACAAGUGUUAGAGUAACUGUUAACACUUUGACGGUAUUUAACCAGAAAGCCACGGCUAACUACGUGCCAGCAGCCGCGGUAAUACGUAGGUGGCAAGCGUUGUCCGGAUUUAUUGGGCGUAAAGCGAGCGCAGGCGGUUUUGUAAGUCUGCUGUGAAAGCCCUCAGCUCAACUGAGGAAGUGCAGUGGAAACUACAAAACUUGAGUACAGAAGAGGAAAGUGGAACUCCAUGUGUAGCGGUGAAAUGCGUAGAUAUAUGGAAGAACACCAGUGGCGAAGGCGGCUUUCUGGUCUGUUACUGACGCUGAGGCUCGAAAGCAUGGGUAGCGAACAGGAUUAGAUACCCUGGUAGUCCAUGCCGUAAACGAUGAAUACUAGGUGUUGGAGGGUUUCCGCCCUUCAGUGCCGCAGCUAACGCAUUAAGUAUUCCGCCUGGGGAGUACGACCGCAAGGUUGAAACUCAAAGGAAUUGACGGGGGCCCCCCCAAGUGGUG
RNAcentral lists this ribosomal RNA (604 nucleotides) under Apilactobacillus kunkeei. RNAcentral describes it as "bacterial SSU rRNA". It matches the Rfam family "Bacterial small subunit ribosomal RNA", at positions 339 to 934 of the family's 1533-position model. Lineage: Bacteria; Bacillati; Bacillota; Bacilli; Lactobacillales; Lactobacillaceae. The record is from RNAcentral.